GGGUUGUGAGGUUAAGCGACUAAGCGUACACGGUGGAUGCCCUGGCAGUCAGAGGCGAUGAAGGACGUGCUAAUCUGCGAUAAGCGUCGGUAAGGUGAUAUGAACCGUUAUAACCGGCGAUUUCCGAAUGGGGAAACCCAGUGUGUUUCGACACACUAUCAUUAACUGAAUCCAUAGGUUAAUGAGGCGAACCGGGGGAACUGAAACAUCUAAGUACCCCGAGGAAAAGAAAUCAACCGAGAUUCCCCCAGUAGCGGCGAGCGAACGGGGAGGAGCCCAGAGCCUGAAUCAGUGUGUGUGUUAGUGGAAGCGUCUGGAAAGGCGCGCGAUACAGGGUGACAGCCCCGUACACAAAAAUGCACAUAUUGUGAGCUCGAUGAGUAGGGCGGGACACGUGGUAUCCUGUCUGAAUAUGGGGGGACCAUCCUCCAAGGCUAAAUACUCCUGACUGACCGAUAGUGAACCAGUACCGUGAGGGAAAGGCGAAAAGAACCCCGGCGAGGGGAGUGAAAAAGAACCUGAAACCGUGUACGUACAAGCAGUGGGAGCACGCUUAGGCGUGUGACUGCGUACCUUUUGUAUAAUGGGUCAGCGACUUAUAUUCUGUAGCAAGGUUAACCGAAUAGGGGAGCCGAAGGGAAACCGAGUCUUAACUGGGCGUUAAGUUGCAGGGUAUAGACCCGAAACCCGGUGAUCUAGCCAUGGGCAGGUUGAAGGUUGGGUAACACUAACUGGAGGACCGAACCGACUAAUGUUGAAAAAUUAGCGGAUGACUUGUGGCUGGGGGUGAAAGGCCAAUCAAACCGGGAGAUAGCUGGUUCUCCCCGAAAGCUAUUUAGGUAGCGCCUCGUGAACUCAUCUCCGGGGGUAGAGCACUGUUUCGGCAAGGGGGUCAUCCCGACUUACCAACCCGAUGCAAACUGCGAAUACCGGAGAAUGUUAUCACGGGAGACACACGGCGGGUGCUAACGUCCGUCGUGAAGAGGGAAACAACCCAGACCGCCAGCUAAGGUCCCAAAGUCAUGGUUAAGUGGGAAACGAUGUGGGAAGGCCCAGACAGCCAGGAUGUUGGCUUAGAAGCAGCCAUCAUUUAAAGAAAGCGUAAUAGCUCACUGGUCGAGUCGGCCUGCGCGGAAGAUGUAACGGGGCUAAACCAUGCACCGAAGCUGCGGCAGCGACGCUUAUGCGUUGUUGGGUAGGGGAGCGUUCUGUAAGCCUGUGAAGGUGUGCUGUGAGGCAUGCUGGAGGUAUCAGAAGUGCGAAUGCUGACAUAAGUAACGAUAAAGCGGGUGAAAAGCCCGCUCGCCGGAAGACCAAGGGUUCCUGUCCAACGUUAAUCGGGGCAGGGUGAGUCGACCCCUAAGGCGAGGCCGAAAGGCGUAGUCGAUGGGAAACAGGUUAAUAUUCCUGUACUUGGUGUUACUGCGAAGGGGGGACGGAGAAGGCUAUGUUGGCCGGGCGACGGUUGUCCCGGUUUAAGCGUGUAGGCUGGUUUUCCAGGCAAAUCCGGAAAAUCAAGGCUGAGGCGUGAUGACGAGGCACUACGGUGCUGAAGCAACAAAUGCCCUGCUUCCAGGAAAAGCCUCUAAGCAUCAGGUAACAUCAAAUCGUACCCCAAACCGACACAGGUGGUCAGGUAGAGAAUACCAAGGCGCUUGAGAGAACUCGGGUGAAGGAACUAGGCAAAAUGGUGCCGUAACUUCGGGAGAAGGCACGCUGAUAUGUAGGUGAAGCGACUUGCUCGUGGAGCUGAAAUCAGUCGAAGAUACCAGCUGGCUGCAACUGUUUAUUAAAAACACAGCACUGUGCAAACACGAAAGUGGACGUAUACGGUGUGACGCCUGCCCGGUGCCGGAAGGUUAAUUGAUGGGGUCAGCGCAAGCGAAGCUCUUGAUCGAAGCCCCGGUAAACGGCGGCCGUAACUAUAACGGUCCUAAGGUAGCGAAAUUCCUUGUCGGGUAAGUUCCGACCUGCACGAAUGGCGUAAUGAUGGCCAGGCUGUCUCCACCCGAGACUCAGUGAAAUUGAACUCGCUGUGAAGAUGCAGUGUACCCGCGGCAAGACGGAAAGACCCCGUGAACCUUUACUAUAGCUUGACACUGAACAUUGAGCCUUGAUGUGUAGGAUAGGUGGGAGGCUUAGAAGUGUGGACGCCAGUCUGCAUGGAGCCGACCUUGAAAUACCACCCUUUAAUGUUUGAUGUUCUAACGUUGACCCGUAAUCCGGGUUGCGGACAGUGUCUGGUGGGUAGUUUGACUGGGGCGGUCUCCUCCUAAAGAGUAACGGAGGAGCACGAAGGUUGGCUAAUCCUGGUCGGACAUCAGGAGGUUAGUGCAAUGGCAUAAGCCAGCUUGACUGCGAGCGUGACGGCGCGAGCAGGUGCGAAAGCAGGUCAUAGUGAUCCGGUGGUUCUGAAUGGAAGGGCCAUCGCUCAACGGAUAAAAGGUACUCCGGGGAUAACAGGCUGAUACCGCCCAAGAGUUCAUAUCGACGGCGGUGUUUGGCACCUCGAUGUCGGCUCAUCACAUCCUGGGGCUGAAGUAGGUCCCAAGGGUAUGGCUGUUCGCCAUUUAAAGUGGUACGCGAGCUGGGUUUAGAACGUCGUGAGACAGUUCGGUCCCUAUCUGCCGUGGGCGCUGGAGAACUGAGGGGGGCUGCUCCUAGUACGAGAGGACCGGAGUGGACGCAUCACUGGUGUUCGGGUUGUCAUGCCAAUGGCACUGCCCGGUAGCUAAAUGCGGAAGAGAUAAGUGCUGAAAGCAUCUAAGCACGAAACUUGCCCCGAGAUGAGUUCUCCCUGACUCCUUGAGAGUCCUGAAGGAACGUUGAAGACGACGACGUUGAUAGGCCGGGUGUGUAAGCGCAGCGAUGCGUUGAGCUAACCGGUACUAAUGAACCGUGAGGCUUAACCUUACAACGCCGAAGGUGUUU
RNAcentral lists this ribosomal RNA (2931 nucleotides) under Escherichia coli. Its description in RNAcentral is "bacterial LSU rRNA". It matches the Rfam family "Bacterial large subunit ribosomal RNA". Lineage: Bacteria; Pseudomonadati; Pseudomonadota; Gammaproteobacteria; Enterobacterales; Enterobacteriaceae. The record is from RNAcentral.